Molecule: ribosomal RNA, 342 nt
Filed under: uncultured archaeon
Lineage: Archaea
Description: partial 16S ribosomal RNA
Rfam family: Archaeal small subunit ribosomal RNA
Source: RNAcentral
CGGGAAACUGGGGAUAAUACCGGAUAUUUGGAGAUGCCUGGAAUGGUACUCCACUUAAAGCUCCGGCGCCUAAGGAUGGAUCUGCGGCAGAUUAGGUCGUUGGUGGGGUAAUGGCCCACCAAGCCUAUAAUCUGUACGGGUUGUGAGAGCAAGAGCCCGGAGAUGGAACCUGAGACAAAGUUCCAGGCCCUACGGGGCGCAGCAGGGGGGAAACCCCCGCAAUGCGAGCAAAUCGCGACGGGGGGACCCAAAGUGCCACUCUUAACGGGGUGGCUUUUCUUAAGUGUAAAAAGCUUUUGGAAUAAGGGCUGGGCAAGACCGGUGCCAGCCGCCGCGGUAACA